This 433-nucleotide ribosomal RNA is filed under the name uncultured bacterium. RNAcentral's name for it is "partial 16S ribosomal RNA". It matches the Rfam family "Bacterial small subunit ribosomal RNA", at positions 29 to 507 of the family's 1533-position model. The record is from RNAcentral.
AACGAACGCUGGCGGCAUGCCUAACACAUGCAAGUCGAACGAGACCUUCGGGUCUAGUGGCGCACGGGUGCGUAACGCGUGGGAACCUGCCCUUAGGUUCGGAAUAACUCCCCGAAAGGGGUGCUAAUACCGGAUAAUGUCAUCGGACCAAAGAUUUAUCGCCUUUGGAUGGGCCCGCGUUGGAUUAGCUAGUUGGUAGGGUAAAAGCCUACCAAGGCGACGAUCCAUAGCUGGUCUGAGAGGAUGAUCAGCCACACUGGGACUGAGACACGGCCCAGACUCCUACGGGAGGCAGCAGUGGGGAAUAUUGGACAAUGGGCGCAAGCCUGAUCCAGCAAUGCCGCGUGAGUGAUGAAGGCCUUAGGGUUGUAAAGCUCUUUUACCCGGGAUGAUAAUGACAGUACCGGGAGAAGAAGCUCCGGCUAACUCCGUG